Small nucleolar RNA from Arvicanthis niloticus (Nile rat), 131 nucleotides. RefSeq annotates it as small nucleolar RNA SNORA17. The record is from RefSeq and is a predicted model, not a curated record. Lineage: Eukaryota; Metazoa; Chordata; Mammalia; Rodentia; Muridae.
CCUGCCCUUAGAGGCAUUGCAGGUGUGGCUGCUGUGUCACAUGUGUCAGUCAGGUGGCAAAGAGGACAGAGGCUAUGUCUAUGCUCAGUGUUCUGACCUGUGAACAUCUGAGUAAUUCUUAGCCUAACACU